This 404-nucleotide ribosomal RNA is filed under the name Pseudomonas sp. RNAcentral describes it as "partial 16S ribosomal RNA". It matches the Rfam family "Bacterial small subunit ribosomal RNA", at positions 355 to 776 of the family's 1533-position model. RNAcentral also lists the same sequence under 1 other name. The record is from RNAcentral. Lineage: Bacteria; Pseudomonadati; Pseudomonadota; Gammaproteobacteria; Pseudomonadales; Pseudomonadaceae.
UGGGGAAUAUUGGACAAUGGGCGCAAGCCUGAUCCAGCCAUGCCGCGUGAGUGAUGAAGGCCCUAGGGUUGUAAAGCUCUUUCACCGGUGAAGAUAAUGACGGUAACCGGAGAAGAAGCCCCGGCUAACUUCGUGCCAGCAGCCGCGGUAAUACGAAGUGGGCUAGCGUUGUUCGGAUUUACUGGGCGUAAAGCGCACGUAGGCGGACUUUUAAGUCAGGGGUGAAAUCCCGGGGCUCAACCCCGGAACUGCCUUUGAUACUGGAAGUCUUGAGUAUGGUAGAGGUGAGUGGAAUUCCGAGUGUAGAGGUGAAAUUCGUAGAUAUUCGGAGGAACACCAGUGGCGAAGGCGGCUCACUGGACCAUUACUGACGCUGAGGUGCGAAAGCGUGGGGAGCAAACAGG